This 491-nucleotide ribosomal RNA is filed under the name uncultured bacterium. RNAcentral's name for it is "partial 16S ribosomal RNA". It matches the Rfam family "Bacterial small subunit ribosomal RNA", at positions 28 to 507 of the family's 1533-position model. The record is from RNAcentral.
GAUGAACGCUGGCUACAGGCUUAACACAUGCAAGUCGAGGGGAAACGCCGGGGAAGCUUGCUUCCCCGGGCGUCGACCGGCGCACGGGUGAGUAACGCGUAUCCAACCUGCCUCUGACUGAGGGAUAACCCGCCGAAAGUCGGCCUAAUACCUCAUGGUAUCGUCUGCGGGCAUCCAACGACGAUUAAAGAUUUCAUCGGUCAGGGAUGGGGAUGCGUCUGAUUAGCUUGUUGGCGGGGUAACGGCCCACCAAGGCUACGAUCAGUAGGGGUUCUGAGAGGAAGGUCCCCCACAUUGGAACUGGGACACGGUCCAAACUCCUACGGGAGGCAGCAGUGAGGAAUAUUGGUCAAUGGGCGAGAGCCUGAACCAGCCAAGUAGCGUGCAGGAAGGCGGCCCUAGGGGUGGUAAACUGCUUUUAGGCGGGGAUAAAGUGAGGGACGGGUCCCUCAUUGCAGGUACCGCAUGAAUAAGGACCGGCUAAUUCCGUG